GUGGGGAAUAUUGGACAAUGGGGGGAACCCUGAUCCAGCCAUGCCGCGUGUGUGAAGAAGACCUUUUGGUUGUAAAGCACUUUAAGCGAGGAGGAGGCUACCGAGAUUAAUACUCUUGGAUAGUGGACGUUACUCGCAGAAUAAGCACCGGCUAACUCUGUGCCAGCAGCCGCGGUAAUACAGAGGGUGCAAGCGUUAAUCGGAUUUACUGGGCGUAAAGCGCGCGUAGGUGGCCAAUUAAGUCAAAUGUGAAAUCCCCGAGCUUAACUUGGGAAUUGCAUUCGAUACUGGUUGGCUAGAGUAUGGGAGAGGAUGGUAGAAUUCCAGGUGUAGCGGUGAAAUGCGUAGAGAUCUGGAGGAAUACCGAUGGCGAAGGCAGCCAUCUGGCCUAAUACUGACACUGAGGUGCGAAAGCAUGGGGAGCAAACAGGAUUAGAAACCCCAGUAGUCC
Molecule: ribosomal RNA, 451 nt
Filed under: uncultured bacterium
Lineage: Bacteria
Description: partial 16S ribosomal RNA
Rfam family: Bacterial small subunit ribosomal RNA
Source: RNAcentral